AUUGAACGCUGGCGGCAUGCCUUACACAUGCAAGUCGAACGGCAGCACGGGAGCAAUCCUGGUGGCGAGUGGCGAACGGGUGAGUAAUACAUCGGAACGUGCCCAGUAGUGGGGGAUAACCCGGCGAAAGCCGGACUAAUACCGCAUACGACCUACGGGUGAAAGCGGGGGAUCGCAAGACCUCGCGCUAUCGGAGCGGCCGAUGUCAGAUUAGCUAGUUGGUGGGGUAAAGGCCUACCAAGGCGACGAUCUGUAGCUGGUCUGAGAGGACGACCAGCCACACUGGGACUGAGACACGGCCCAGACUCCUAAGGGAGGCAGCAGUGGGGAAUUUUGGACAAUGGGCGCAAGCCUGAUCCAGCCAUGCCGCGUGCGGGAAGAAGGCCUUCGGGUUGUAAACCGCUUUUGUCAGGGAAGAAACGCUCCGGGCUAAUACCACGGAGUAAUGACGGUACCUGAAGAAUAAGCACCGGCUAACUACGUG
This 484-nucleotide ribosomal RNA is filed under the name uncultured bacterium. Its description in RNAcentral is "partial 16S ribosomal RNA". It matches the Rfam family "Bacterial small subunit ribosomal RNA", at positions 29 to 507 of the family's 1533-position model. The record is from RNAcentral.